GUCUAUUUCUGCUCUCUUAAUAUUUGCUCUUAUUUCUGUUUCUUGGUUGCUUUCUUGCUCAAUUGGUAUUGUGGUGUUUCCUUUGCUUUGAGUUGAUUUAAAGCCUUUUUUUCUUUCAAUAAUUUCGAUUGGUUUUGCAUUUUGUUUGUAAACUUUGGGGAUUUUGGGUUGAGGGUUAUGUUCAAUUCGGGGACCUUUUUGGCUUAAGUUCAUGCUAAUUACU
This 223-nucleotide unclassified non-coding RNA is filed under the name Hevea brasiliensis (rubber tree). The record is from RNAcentral. Lineage: Eukaryota; Viridiplantae; Streptophyta; Magnoliopsida; Malpighiales; Euphorbiaceae.